Molecule: ribosomal RNA, 253 nt
Filed under: uncultured bacterium
Lineage: Bacteria
Description: partial 16S ribosomal RNA
Rfam family: Bacterial small subunit ribosomal RNA
Source: RNAcentral
UACGUAGGUGGCAAGCGUUGUCCGGAUUUACUGGGCGUAAAGGGUGCGUAGGUGGAUAUUUAAGUCAGAUGUGAAAUCCCCGGGCUUAACCUGGGAAGUGCAUUUGAAACUGGAUAUCUUGAGUGCAGGAGAGGUAAGUGGAAUUCCUAGUGUAGCGGUGAAAUGCGUAGAUAUUAGGAAGAACACCAGUGGCGAAGGCGACUUACUGGACUGUAACUGACACUGAGGCACGAAAGCGUGGGUAGCAAACAGG